Molecule: ribosomal RNA, 304 nt
Filed under: uncultured bacterium
Lineage: Bacteria
Description: partial 16S ribosomal RNA
Rfam family: Bacterial small subunit ribosomal RNA
Source: RNAcentral
CAGCAGCAGCCGCGGGAAUACAGAGGGUGCAAGCGUUAAUCGGAAUUACUGGGCGUAAAGCGCGCGUAGGUGGUUUGUUAAGUUGGAUGUGAAAGCCCCGGGCUCAACCUGGGAACUGCAUCCAAAACUGGCAAGCUAGAGUACGGUAGAGGGUGGUGGAAUUUCCUGUGUAGCGGUGAAAUGCGUAGAUAUAGGAAGGAACACCAGUGGCGAAGGCGACCACCUGGACUGAUACUGACACUGAGGUGCGAAAGCGUGGGGAGCAAACAGGAUUAGAUACCCCCGUAGUCCCUGUCUCUUAUAC